RNAcentral lists this long non-coding RNA (3797 nucleotides) under Physcomitrium patens. RNAcentral's name for it is "long non-coding RNA (PPAT_LNC014014)". The record is from RNAcentral. Lineage: Eukaryota; Viridiplantae; Streptophyta; Bryopsida; Funariales; Funariaceae.
GUUUGUUUGUUUGCUUGCUUGCUUGCUUCAGUUGUAUUGCAAAUUGAUACGUUGCUUUCAUUUGUCUCAUUCAUGUACCUAAAUAUAAAUUCUAGUAUGUUUAGAGGAAAUAAAUUAAAAAGCUAAAAUGUUUGCACAAGACCAUAUCUUAAAUAUAAAUACCAUCAUUUUAGCUUAUCAAAUCCUCUCACACAUAUUUUAGAUGCAAAAUUGUUUUACGUAACAGACGCCUUUCCGUGGCAAACAAGUAUCAUGGGUUUACUUCAUGUUGUCACACAACGUUACUAAAAUUUUAUUUUUUGGAAUUCAUUCAAAAAUCAGAAUGAAAAUGACUCACACGUAAAUACAUAUGUUAUCAUGCAAACUUUACAAUGCAAUUUCAUCGAUUAAUGCCUAGCAAUUUGACUAUUAAUGUAAAUGACUAUCUUUCAGACCUCUAAUUGACCUUCAAAAUAUAUAUCUGUCUCUCUCUCUCUCUCUCUCCACAUACAUAUAAAUAUAUAUAUAUAUAUAUAUAUAUAUUAUUUACUCAUUCAUUCAUUCUGCACAUCCAAUCAAUCCAUUAAUCCACCUAGAAAAAUCAAUCUGUGAGAAAGAUUUACUUCAAAACAAAUACCCGCUGCUGUGCAAAGUCAGCCUGUCCAAGCUACACAUCCUCACGGUCUCUGCCUCUGAGCAGCAACCACAGCAUCAAUCAUUUGAACAUGCACUUUGCAUUACUCACCUCGCAGGUAAUCCCACUCUGCAAAAGAUUAUUAUACCUCCUGCGCACUGGGUGCUUUCACCCACGCACAGAUUAAAAAGUGAAAGAAAAAGGCAUACACAAAGAAGGAUGAAGAAGAAGGACAAAACAAACGAACAAACUGGCAUUACUGUCAACCCUGAAGACAUUGAAGCUUUCGGAAGCAACUGCCUGAAUGCACUCGGGGAGCAGAUGGUGCUUACCACGGCGCAGAUCAGGGGCACCUGCAGGUGCACGAAGCUGUGUCAGUCAGGGACAGACAGCAUCCAUGGAGCCACCAAAUGGUGGAAGCUUUGACACCGCAGUUGGGAGGAGGCUUCAUCUGCCGCCGGGAGGUCGGCGUGGCCCCGCAUCACGACGAUCCGGUGCUACUAGCCUCGAUCCAACGCUUCGCUGCCUGUGAUGCAGGUAUUACGACAACAACCCACAGGUUAGUCUUGUCUCGAUGUACCUUUGUGCCGAUCAUCGGACCCCUGCUGCCAGUGCCCGCAAAACUCUCUAUCUCGUUGAAUGCGGCACCAGAUCAACGAAAUGAAUGUCUGGUAUUCACAUCAAACCUUCACUAUACACAACAUAUACAGACAGAUAGAUAGAUAGAUGGGGAGAUGGAUACAUGGCUUGUUUUUAUGUUUAAGAUUGUGGGUGUGGUUACAAGAUGUUCCGAAUUAGAGCGUAAAAUUGGGUUCUUGAAGAAAUGUGUGGAUUGAAAUGUUAAUACUAUGUGACAAAAUUGACGGCAUUGAAUUGUCUAGUUUGCAUUUAGAAGUGUAUAAGCUUGUAAACAAAAGUUAAAAAAUAUGAAAACCUAAUUUCAUUGUCACACUUGCUAAUCUCUUUUUCAUUUAUUUUAGUUUUUUGAAAAUUUAUGACAUGAGAGUCUUUUUGCAGUUGAGUACGGUUAUUGGAAUGUAUUGAUUUGCGUUAAUAGAAUUUUGCAGUGAUGUAUGAUGAAACUAAAUUUUUGAUAUUCUGCAAUUUAAAAUUGUAAAUAGUAAAUUAAAGUUUCAAAAUGCCCAAUGGUAACUUUGUGUUAAGUAUUCAAUAUUACUCAUAUUAACUUUUUUCAAUUCAUAACAUGUAAUUUGUAAUAGUGUUUAUUUAUUUUACAUUCAUGUUCAAUUAUUGUAUGUUUUAUGUUUGUAUUUGUAUAUAAUUUUAACAAACUGUGCAAUGCUCAGAAACUAAAUCUUUUUAAGAUCAAAUUACUUGUUUUUAUGCUAAAAGAAUUUUAUUUUUAUUUAUUUUUCAUUUCAGCUGUACAAGGACUUCAAUUAAUCAUCUAUAUAAAAUUUAACAAUAAAACUUCGAUUUUUUUUAUAUCUUUAAAAAAGCAUUGUUACUGAUUGGAUAUGUUUUGUCAUAAAAACUCAUGAUUUAGUUGCAAGAAUAAUUUUAGUAAUUUUUUAAAUGAUAUAGAUAUCCUAACGUAUAAUUUCUAAUUUUAUAAAGUAGAUGAUUAAAUUUAUUUACAAAUGUCUUAUAUUAUAUUUUUAUUUUAAAUCACAAAUAGCUACUUUCAAAACAAUGCUACUAAAGACCUCCAUAUGCAUGCAAGCCAAAAACGUAUCCAUUCUCAUGAAGAGCUUUUCUACCUAACAAGAUAACAAUAAAAUAAAAAUUAAAUUAAAUUAAAAUACGAAAUUUAGUUAAAUUACUGUAAAUUCUAAACUAUUUAUUUUAUUAUUUUACAUUAUUAUUUCUUUCAUAAUUAUAUUAAACUAUUGAAAUCAUAUUUGUUGAUAUAUAUAUAUAUAUAUAUAUAUAUUAAACAAAACUAUUAAUUUCUUUAAAAGAUUUUUAGUGUAUAGAUAAAUAGAAAUCAUCCUAAAUAUAUAUAUUUUGAUUUAUGUUAUGUAUAAUAUUUUUUUUGUUAAAAAUAUUAUGUGAAACGGGAAUAAAAAUAUGCACAUAUUUUUUAAGUUUUUACUUAUAUUUAUUAGUUUUCUUUUAAGUAAACUUCUCUUGUAUGUAUAAUAAUUGUUAUGAAUGUGAUUAGAUUUUUCUUUUGUAAUUAAUAAUGUGUUUGUAUAUAUAUAUAUAUAUAUAUAUAUACAUAUACAUAUCUAUAUAUGUAAGUUCACACUGAGUUCUACAUUAAAUGACAUUUCAUUUUUAUAGUUGCUAAUGGACGUUGUUUACUUGAUUUUAGAAACAAUUUUGCAAGGAGCACAGUAAAAAAAUGAAAACAUGUUGAUAUAUCUUAAUUUAAAUUUAAAAUUCAGGUAAAUUUAAAUUUAUUAUCAAUGUAGUACUUGUAAAAAUUAGUCUGUUUUUAAUGAUGUACGGUUAAAUUAGAUUACGAUGGUGGAGGAUUAUGAAAAUUUAAAGACAAACCAAGUCAAGCAAUAGAACUAAAAAUAGUAUCAGUUGCUUAAUAACAAUGAAUAUUUUCUAAUAAAACUAAUAUAAAACAAAUGUUUAAAGGUUGAGGCAUUAAAAUGUGGUAAUAUGCUAACAAACAAGUUGAUUCUGUAGCUCUCAAAAACAAAAGAUGUGCUUAAUUUACUUUCAAAUUCUCAAAGAUAUUGAAACAUAUUCAAAACAUAAAUAGUUAAACAAAUGAGAGUAUUCCUUUCAAUUUCCCCUUUAUUUCUCCCCUGGUAAAAUCCUCAACUUUUUUUCUCAUUUAGUGCACUUGUAAUCAACCAACUUUGACUCAUUUGAACUUCACACCAAUUUUCAGUCACCCUAACCAACUCCUGAAAAAAAAAAAAAAAAAAAAAACCUUAAAAAAACCUUUAAAAAGUAUAAAAUGUAAAUAAAUAAAUAAAAAUACCUACAUCUCCAUUUAUGCCUACCUGCCCCUAACAACAACUACCACUUCUUAGGCCAAGAAUGAAAGAAGAAGAGUGAAACUUGUACAACCCCAACAAUCAUAUAUAUAUAUAUAUAUAUAUAUAUACACACACAUUUAUUUAAUUUUUAUUUAAAUGAAUAAUUAAUUAGUGGGUACCUGAAUGUGACCCUGUAAAGUGGCCUGCAAAUGUGCUCUCAUCCUGCUUCUGCCAUGGCCUGACUCUCCCCACAAACUCCUCUUUGUCUACAUUCCCCACCU